GGGCCGGUAGUUCAGCCUGGUUAGGAGCAUUGACUCUCCGGAUAGAACGUCCGCCUUACACGCGGAAACCCUCACGUGGGGGCCGUAGGGUCGGGAGUUCAAAUCUCCCCCGGCCCACCA
RNAcentral lists this transfer RNA (120 nucleotides) under Candidatus Bathyarchaeota archaeon. RNAcentral describes it as "tRNA-Val". It matches the Rfam family "tRNA". Rfam says of the family: Transfer RNA (tRNA) molecules are approximately 80 nucleotides in length. RNAcentral also lists the same sequence under 1 other name. Lineage: Archaea; Thermoproteati; Candidatus Bathyarchaeota. The record is from RNAcentral.